This 262-nucleotide long non-coding RNA is filed under the name Brassica napus (rape). RNAcentral describes it as "long non-coding RNA (BNAP_LNC017064)". The record is from RNAcentral. Lineage: Eukaryota; Viridiplantae; Streptophyta; Magnoliopsida; Brassicales; Brassicaceae.
CAGACAUGCUCUUACAAAGUCAGCAGAGAAAUGAAAACACAAGGUAACACUAGAAUUUUUAUUCUUUAGUAGCCAGGGAAGAACUUUGCCUCUUUAUUAGAAAUGAAAUCACAAGGUAUCACUAAUCUAAAUAGGUUAAUGACGUUUAUAUUUAUCGCGUUAAACUAUACUUUUUUUUUGUCAACCGUUAGAAUCUAAUAUAUUAAAACAUAAUUACAAAUAGUACUUAGCUCUAACUUUUUCUAAAAAAAUUACCAUCUCA